This 207-nucleotide ribosomal RNA is filed under the name uncultured bacterium. Its description in RNAcentral is "partial 16S ribosomal RNA". It matches the Rfam family "Bacterial small subunit ribosomal RNA", at positions 568 to 774 of the family's 1533-position model. The record is from RNAcentral.
CUCGUAGGUGGUUCGUCGCGUCCGGUGUGAAAGUCCAUCGCUUAACGGUGGAUCCGCGCCGGGUACGGGCGGGCUUGAGUGCGGUAGGGGAGACUGGAAUUCCCGGUGUAACGGUGGAAUGUGUAGAUAUCGGGAAGAACACCAAUGGCGAAGGCAGGUCUCUGGGCCGUCACUGACGCCGAGGAGCGAAAGCGUGGGGAGCGAACA